RNAcentral lists this transfer RNA (73 nucleotides) under Acidobacteriota bacterium. Its description in RNAcentral is "tRNA-Thr". It matches the Rfam family "tRNA". From Rfam's summary of the family: Transfer RNA (tRNA) molecules are approximately 80 nucleotides in length. The record is from RNAcentral. Lineage: Bacteria; Pseudomonadati; Acidobacteriota.
GCCGGAGUAGCUCAGCUGGUAGAGCACCGGUCUUGUAAACCGGUGGCCGUCGGUUCGAGUCCGACCUCCGGCU